This 253-nucleotide ribosomal RNA is filed under the name uncultured bacterium. RNAcentral's name for it is "partial 16S ribosomal RNA". It matches the Rfam family "Bacterial small subunit ribosomal RNA", at positions 524 to 776 of the family's 1533-position model. The record is from RNAcentral.
GACAGAGGGGGCAAGCGUUGCUCGGAAUUACUGGGCGUAAAGGGCGCGUAGGCGGGAUGGCAAGUCGGUCGUGAAAUCCCUCGGCUCAACCGAGGAACGUCGAUCGAUACUGCUGUUCUUGAGGAUUGCAGAGGAGACUGGAAUUCCCGGUGUAGCGGUGAAAUGCGUAGAUAUCGAGAGGAACACCUGCGGCGAAGGCGGGUUGCUGGGCUGACACUGACGCUGAGGCGCGAAAGCUAGGGGAGCGAACGGG